GUUCGGCUCUGCUGGGAGCGGAUUACGGAUUACGGGUAUGCGAAUGUAAUAAGGUCAAGAGGGAGAGAUAAGGCCAUCCGGCUUAUACAAAACAGUGUUAAAUACACAGAGAUAGUUCGACCAAGCCAACCAGCCCAAUGAGACACGGAAUCAUCCGUAGUCAACCCAUCUAUAGCUUCGUAAGCUCAUCUUAAAAUCAUAUGAGGCCACAAUGUAGAUACUAUUAUAUAUUAUAAAAUCACAUAAACAAUCGAAUCAAGGCACUAGCCUGUUAUGGCCACAGAACUCAACAGUUCCGCACCGUCGCCCAUAAACCAGAUUAUUAAUUAAUUGAAGCAGGUUCAUUGGUAUGCAUGAAACACGUUCAAAGAUGUCAACAUCUUACAAUGCAGGUCUGAGGAGAGCCAGUUAUGCUGCCUGAGACCAGGCGAUUUGCAUAAAACGGAAUGAUAAGCUGGACACCUGAUUUCGAGACCAUUGAUAACAAAAUGUUUGUUCAAUAAAGAAAACCACUAUAUCGCUGAA
Molecule: long non-coding RNA, 525 nt
Organism: Drosophila mauritiana
Lineage: Eukaryota; Metazoa; Arthropoda; Insecta; Diptera; Drosophilidae
Exons: 2
Source: RefSeq, a predicted model, not a curated record